Molecule: ribosomal RNA, 253 nt
Filed under: uncultured bacterium
Lineage: Bacteria
Description: partial 16S ribosomal RNA
Rfam family: Bacterial small subunit ribosomal RNA
Source: RNAcentral
UACGUAGGGGGCAAGCGUUAUCCGGAAUUACUGGGUGUAAAGGGAGCGUAGACGGUAAUGUAAGUCUGGAGUGAAAGGCGGGGGCCCAACCCCCGGACUGCUCUGGAAACUAUGUUACUAGAGUGCAGGAGAGGUAAGCGGAAUUCCUAGUGUAGCGGUGAAAUGCGUAGAUAUUAGGAGGAACACCAGUGGCGAAGGCGGCUUACUGGACUGUAACUGACACUGAGGCUCGAAAGUGUGGGGAGCAAACAGG